GCCAAUGGUUGCGCAGGUGCAGCAGGUCCGCCCUGUCCCGUCGCGAGAGAGCGUGCGGGGGUCUGCAAAACUUCUGCCCUCGAAAAAGAACUUUGGAAGCGCAGGAGCUGGAAAAACAAGGACGGCCAUAAACUGACGAAUAGAGACUGAUGGCCCUGGAAUCAUGGUGACUGAAGCUUCAAGGAUUGCUAGAGGCCAUUGCGCUGGACCUCGCGACUGGCACUCUCCCUCCCUCCGCAAUAUUCCUGCCAGGUGCCAGGUGCUAGGUGCCAGGUGCUCUCACAGACUUUGGUGAACAUGGAGAAAGCACCACCUACAGACAUGGCCUGGCUGGUGUGAGAGCAGGACGCGGCUUCUUCAGAAGAGCCAAAGUCUGGCUACUGGGUGUGGGGAGAGCCCCUCCGAGGUGGGUUCAAGUCCCAUCUCUACCACUUGUUAUCUAUGUGACCUGUCAAAUAAAU
RNAcentral lists this long non-coding RNA (461 nucleotides) under Marmota monax (woodchuck). Lineage: Eukaryota; Metazoa; Chordata; Mammalia; Rodentia; Sciuridae. The record is from RNAcentral.